CCUUCCUUUUGUAUAUUUUUAUACCAAACAGGAAAUAUGAACAGCCACAUACUCACCAUCUCUGUUCCUCAUGAGUCUCAAGAAAGAGGUUCUAGGAACCUAUAUAGAUUUUGUGCACAUAGGGAGAGAACUUGCAGCACAACGGGAAGAUCCUCAGGGGGCAUGUAGGACGGCUGUCUAGACAGUAACAAACUUGUUCUUCAUAGCUGCUCACUUUAAGUAUAACCCUGGAAAAUGGUCAUUAUAAACGAGAGGUAAUUUAUGUUAUACUUAACAGACCUAGCGAGCUGUCCAGAAAACUGGAUAUCCAAGUAGGACUAUCUCCAAAUAAUACACAUCCUGACCUGAAUAUUUUAAAAACUGUAUCUUUAAUGAUUUGAAAGGAGUGAAACAGACCAAAAAUUUACACUGCUUUAGUGCCUGUUUUGUCUGAAAUUUUGCUUUCUUAGCUGUGCCCUUUGCUACUAUUCCUUACUACUCUGUGGAUGGCUCUCAUCUGAGCACACCAGUGCUUUUGUUUUUGAAUUUCUGAUUUUCUGGGGAUGUGUUUAACUUGUAUUAACAGGAAGGGUAUUUUAGCAGACUGGUUUCCUGCUUCGUGUAAAGAGGGAAGCAGACGGCUUCUCUCCUGGCUGUUGGAAACAGGAAUGCUGAGAUAAGCGUUAGCAUUGCAUCUCCCUCUUGCUGUAUGACAAAUUUCUUUCUACUCAAGAGCCCUUGGUCCUGUUUUCUCAUUUGAUCUAACACUCUGAACAGGUGUUAUGUGUAUGUGGUCAUAGGUGAAUUUUAAUGGUAUUUCAAGGCAUUCUAUAUAAAAAUCCAAGUAAUUUCAUGGAUUGCUUUUGUCAAAUAAUAAAAUUAUUUGACAUAAGUCUUAUUGAAAACAGAUGUGGAAUAUGCAAUUCUUACAAUUUUAAAUAUCCUUCCCUGGGGUCCUUUUGACUCAUGCCAACCUGAAAUCUGAAGUAGAAAGUUUCAGCAUCCUUUUUUUUUCCAGGUGUGUUGCCUUUAAUAUACCGGAAAACUUUGUGGCAAGGAACUCUGAGCUUUAACUAAACCUGUUACCAGAAAGAUUCAACCAUCACACUGCUAAUUAAUCAGGAAAGCUUUGUACUUGAGCCAGCCUGCCAUUUGCUAGAGCUUCAACACAUCAGUGGCUGGAGCCAUGGUUUGUAGAUAAAUGUUCCCCGAGAAUUUGGCUGUCAGAACAAUGUACUUCUUUUCUGAACUCCUUUGACACCUGAGUCAAGUGACUGUAGGGAACCAGAACAGGUCUCUGGCUUUUACCAGUCCUUUGAAGUUCAGUGGUCUGAUGGCCACCAUGAUGAGCUGGCUGGUGUGUAUCCAUCAUCAUUGGUAGGUUUUCCAGGAGACUCUUGGUGAAACCAUCCUUGUGGGGCAUAGUUCAUCUGGUGAAACUCUAUUCCCACACACAUGCUGGUUACAUGGCCAGGUCAUAUAGAAAUGAGAGAUUUAGUUGCUCCACUCCUUUAUAGUAUAUCUAUGUAAUUUCAUGAAAGGAGCAGUUGGGAAUUUCUACCACACUAUUCAGUAACAUUUUAAGAAGAAAACAUAAAUUUUGGUCAAAUCAUUGCUAUAAAGGGAAUUUGGAAAGUAACAUAUACCUAAGGAGCAGACAUUAACUUCCUCUAGAACAGAAAAAAAAAGUGUGUAGUGUUGUACAAAGAAAUCCUCAGCUAUAGUUUGUGCCAUCACAAAAUGUCAUAUGGAGAGUGGCUUCAACCACAGAAACUCUAUUUCUCAUAACAAAUUUCACAACUCAUUUCAACAACAGAAACUUAUUUCACUGAGAAGCCAAGUCAAGGUGCUGUCCAGUUUGCUUCUCCAGUCAGAGCUUCUUCCUGCCUCACAGAUAGCUUAUCUUUUACUGUGUCGUCACCUAAGACAGUGAGAGAAGCUCAGCCCUACCUUCAGGACUUAAUUUAACCCCAACUAGCUCCCAAAACCCUAAUCUGCAGAUGAUAUUAUAUUGAGGGAUACAUGUUUAACAUAUAAAACUGAAGGUAGACACUCGAAUCUAUGUCCUUAUUAUAUACAAAUAAAUAUAUUCUUUCUACUUCACAGGUCCCCAAACUUCCUGGUAUUUUAUUAGAAGCUUUAUGUCCCCUUUUCUGCAAUGUUCCUUGGGUGCUAAAUGCAGGAGCUAUGAUGUAGAUGUAUCUGUUGAGGGUGGGCUCCCCACAAUCUGUUGAUCUCUGCAUUGUGUCCUGUUUUCUGUGAUGGCCUCCAUUCGCAAUAAAGAGAGGCUACUUUGGUGAGGGGUGGUAGCUACCUGCCUUUUAUUUGUAAGAUUUGUUUUAAGUAAUAGGGUGUGAUUUCUUUUUAGAGAAGCUAAAAUUGGUUGCUGAGUAGAAAGUGUACUAUUUGGUAUUUGGGGAUAUCUGUUAGGACCAUUUGAUGUAUGGGUUGUUUAAUUACAAUGUUCUUCUGGAUUUUGUUGCAUUAUUUUGUUGGGGUUUUUUUGGGGGGUUGUCCAGAUGACUUGUUUAUGGGGGAAAGUGGAGUUGAAACCAUUCACUGUUAGUGAGUUAGAAUUAAUCUAUGAUGUUAAGCCUUGUAGUAUGAUUGUAAGAAAUUAGGUGGUCUGGAACAAUGUCUGGAGGCAGAAGGAUAGCAUGUGUGGGCCUGAGUCUUGGACACUUUCCAUAUUGGGCUGGCACACAGAUUGUGAGACCAAAGCUAGGCUCGAGGGUCAAGCACAGUGAAGAUUCCAGGAACUCAUUAGGCUGGGCCUGCAUACAAGUGUUCAUCCCAGGCUAGGCCUGGAAGUUGUAUAUGAAACAGCUGAGAUCAGGCCAACCCACCAGACUUGCCUGGAGCAUAGAAUUUGUGACAAGGGCCAACCCUAGAGGUGGAGAGCUGCCCAGGCAGGACUCACAGAUAUGGUUGGCCCAAAACACGUGCAACCAGGUCUAGGUUUGGAAAUUGGGGCAGGUACAGACAGGUUAGCAUUUAGGGAGCUCAGUUUACUGGAGCAGAACAUAGCUAGUCCUGGAGGGCAGAUGUGGUACAGGUGUGCUAGGAGCUUAGUAACAACAGAACUAUUCUUACUGGAAAGUCUUCACAUUUUCUCAAGCCAUCCAUAGUGCUUAUUUUUGGUUCACUGUUGUAUUCAAUAAUGACUUGCAGCAUGGAUCACGGCUAGCUGAGAUGUGCAAAUGAAUGUGGACUGUGCUAAGAAGUCACAUCAAAAUGAGUGUUUUAGUAAUCUGCUCUGAAAGCCAGUGAAAACACAAUGAGCAACUCUUCACUGCUGAGAUGGGAAAAUACAAGAGUCUUCCCAGCUCAUGCCACUCAACACCACGGCUUCAUCAUUUAUUACAGAGCAAAGCAAACAAAGCCACUGACUCUAAUCCUUAAUGAGUAUAUGCGACUCUGAUAAUAUUUAUCAGGUUUAUUUGUUUGAGGGUGACUGAAAUGAAAAGAAAAUAGUGCAGCUUUUGGUCAUUAGUCUCCUCUGACGUGUGCUGCAAUUCUAAGGAAAACACUCGUGACCUAUUUUUAGCAAGUACCUUCAUCCGCAGAAGCACUAAUCACUGAAGAGUAAUCCUUGCGAUGGAAAACACAAAAUUCCCAGAAUUAAACUUUCUUGCUCAUCUGUUUUCUGCUCACAGGAAGUCUAUCAACACCCUCAUGUCUCAUCAUCGAGGACUGAGUUAAUGAAGCAAUUCUGCCGACCAGGCUGCCUUCAUUUUCUUCUUUGCUAAAUUGGGUUCCUCCCAGCCCAGAAAAAUUGGAAAGGUCCCCUCCUUCAGGAAUCCCUUACUAUGUCAAUCCUUUUGACCAAAAAUGUUAAUACUUUUAUAUUAUUUGAACUUCACCUAUCAGUUCAUUCUGUUCUCUUUUUAAUUAAACAUUUUUUACAGACUCAAAGAAAGAUGAUAAGGUUACUCAUUGUUUCAUGUUUCAUGGUCAUGAUAUCUGGAGUUAGGGACAUGUAUUGUAAAGUCCUAUGAUCGUGGUGUCUGGAGUAAAGGGUAGAUAAAUAAAGAAGCUGCAGUUUCUUCCUCACAAGGCUACAGGUGUGGAAUGCUGCAGUUUGGCCUGUCGGAGACUUGAAAUCAGAAUUGCUGAGAUUUUCCACAUGAAAUCACCAAGAGAUUGGAUCCAGUAACAUUCCUUUAUGGAGACUAAGGGGAAGGUCGAAAGACAGCAACUGAGACUGCUCUUGAGGUGCCUCAGAAGGUGACAAGGCCUAUCGUUGAAGCUGUUAUUGUGUGACAUUUUGGUGGUAUAGCUGCCCAUAAAAUUCUCAUUCUCAUGUAGACAAUCCCUUAUUCCUCUUUCUGAAAAUAAACCCAAUUAAUUCCAUUGGUUCACGAGGUUCUAUAUCUUAAAUUGAUUAAUUAUUUGGUCUGUCAUUAGUGUAGUAUCUGGGAUAAAGAGAUGUUUGUUUAUAAUUUCACAGGAAAAAUUAAUACAAUAGUUAAAUAACUCAUUAAGAUAUGAUACAUUAAUAGGUUCAAUAAAUAGUCAUUGGUAUCUGAGGGGUCUGCAGCUCUCUACCACCCAAGGGGACCACUACUGGUAGACAUUGAUGUGUGGACAUAGGAGACAUAUGGACUCCAUGCCAUUGGAGUUUUAGAAGAGUAGAAUGUGGGAGUAGUUUAAAGAUGGAUGGUCCUGAAGCACUGGUUGUUCAAACUGGACUUUUGGAAUAAAACAAGUUGCAGAUUUGAAUAGGGUACCUUCCACUGUGACAUAUACAUUUUUUUAAUAAGUAAUAUCAUUGGCACUUAUUAGAGACAUUGUAAAAAGACAUUAUUUGUUCCAGUUUUUUUGAAGUCCCAGUGGAGAAAAGUUGUUACUGUUCACACACCAUUGCUUGCUUUGCAAAGAUAGAUAGUCUCCACACAGAACUUUGAACUGAUUUCCACAGAAACAUUUUAUAUGCAAGUGAUUCAGAAGAAAAACAGCUUUAUAACUUUGCAGAAAGGAGUGAGAAGAACUUCAUAGAGGAAAUACCAUUACAGUUUGACUUUAGAAUUAAAUAUUUGAGGAGGAAAUAAAGGAGAUACAGGCCACCCACCAUAAGCCAAAUGGUUGCUAGAAAUGUGACCUGGAACACUCUUACACGUCUUUCUUGGUGUUCUUGCAUGAACUCUAGGUAUCUGUUAGACAUUUCCACUAAAAACAAUACAUUUCUUAGGAAAGGAACAGCCGUUUUAUGAUCCCCAUUGAGAAUCCAAUAGAAAUAAAAUCUGUUGUUAAUCUGGGGCCCAUAAAGAAACAGUUCUAUAAACUGAGAGAUUGAUUGACACAGCCCACAAUUGCCCAUCCCCUAUCAUGAAUUAAACAGGAGUAAGUGGAAUAGCGUGAAGCCUUCUUUACUAGGUAGCUCAUUUGUGAAACUUUUAUACUUUUGUCCCCAAAGAGUACAGUAUAUGGAACAGAAAUUACAAAAUUAUGAUUUUUGGGGGGGAGGUAGGCAUACCCUGUAAUUUUUUGUUUGUUGGUAAAAUGCCUUCUAUUUCCAGUCUGUUCUCAGCUAGGCAUGGACACUUAGCUGCUGUGCUUCCCCACCAUGGUGGACUCAGUC
This 5560-nucleotide small RNA is filed under the name Rattus norvegicus (Norway rat). RNAcentral's name for it is "uncharacterized LOC108348564". Lineage: Eukaryota; Metazoa; Chordata; Mammalia; Rodentia; Muridae. The record is from RNAcentral.